ACAUUCAUUUGUGGGCGUCAAGUGAUAAGACGUUAGCCCACAGUCCGACUCCAUAACAUGUCCAGGUUCAAAACUCAGUUUAUUCAACAAAACAGUUCGGGUUACCACGACAAAACAACAACGACGUCACGAUACUCUCCGGCCUCCAACUGGCUGGUCCAGGCUCACACUGCCUAGUUGUACAGUACAGGGCAGGGCUUAUAAAGGAGAUAACUCAAAGGCGAGAACUCCCAAGGCGAGAAGAAGCGUUAUACACGAGAAAACAUUAUACACAUUAUACAGCAAGGCAAAGUCUCUCAGCACUGUCACAGGGCAAAGUUUUCCAGCAUUGUAUAUAAAGAAGCAUUGUUAUACAUGGGUUACAGGAAACAAUCCAGGCGCAUACACAUUAUGCCAGCUGGCCAGCUGUUAAAGUUACACAACGCAAAAUUCAAUCUUUAUGCAUUAAGUUAAAUUUAGAUAAUUAUAUAUAUUAAAUAUUUGUGCUCGGAGCACCCUCAA
Non-coding RNA from Ciona intestinalis (vase tunicate), 501 nucleotides. The record is from RefSeq and is a predicted model, not a curated record. Lineage: Eukaryota; Metazoa; Chordata; Ascidiacea; Phlebobranchia; Cionidae.